CGUGCGCUGUCCCUGCGCCCCGCUCCGCCCGCGCGUCUCAGUCCGCGCCGCGCCUCGGGCGUCCAGAGCGCGCCCCUCGUACCGCAGCGAGCGCCGCCCGCGGCAGCCCAGCCCAGCCUUUCUCCUCCUCCUCCUCCUCCUUCUCCGCCGCCGCCGGACACGCAGCUGCAGGCCGGGGCCGGGACGCAGCUGGGGAGGCAGGGACGCGCGCAGCCAGCCCUUCCCCCUCCGGCUCCCGCACCGCCGGCCGCCUCCCCUCGCCCUCCUCCUCUCCCCUUCCUGCUCCUUCGCUUCUCCUCCUCCUCCUCUCCCGGCCCCGGCUGCCAGCACCAUGUCCGCAGGGGGAGAUUUUGGGAACCCACUGAGAAAAUUCAAGUUGGUGUUCCUGGGGGAACAGAGCGUUGGCAAGACGUCUCUGAUCACACGGUUCAUGUACGACAGCUUCGACAACACAUACCAGGCGACUAUUGGGAUUGACUUCUUGUCAAAAACCAUGUACUUAGAGGAUCGUACGGUGCGACUGCAGCUCUGGGACACAGCGGGCCAGGAGAGGUUCCGCAGCCUGAUCCCCAGCUACAUCCGGGACUCCACAGUGGCCGUGGUGGUGUACGACAUCACAAACCUCAACUCCUUCCAGCAGACCUCUAAGUGGAUUGAUGAUGUCAGGACAGAGAGGGGCAGUGACGUCAUCAUCAUGCUGGUGGGCAACAAGACGGAUCUGGCUGACAAGAGGCAGAUAACCAUUGAGGAGGGGGAGCAGCGCGCCAAAGAACUGAGUGUCAUGUUCAUCGAGACCAGUGCGAAGACCGGCUACAACGUGAAGCAGGUGUGGGUCCCUUGCGGUCACAUGACCCAUGCUUAGCUCCUCAUGACCCCCUGGCCAGCCUACAGGUGAGAGACCUCCCAAGCUCAACUCUGUGAGAGGCCCUGGGGGUUGGGGAGAGAGAAGUCGAUGUAGCUCCUGUCCCCCAGGACACAGUGGGACAGACAGGAGAGUAAAGCCCAAGGUCAGAAUGAGAAAAGCCCAGAGGGUGGAGACACGGGGAGAGCGGGAGGGGAAGGAUGGGGCCGGGGCUCACCUCGCAUCUCCCCCUCUCCCCAGCUCUUAAAGUGUGGCAUCGGCUCUGCCUGGAAUGGAGAAUGUCCAGGAGAAAAGCAAAGAAGGGAUGAUUGACAUCAAGCUGGACAAACCCCAGGAGCCCCCAGCCAGCGAGGGCGGCUGCUCCUGCUAAUGCAGCCUGACCUGCCGGCUUCCUCUGACACUACUCGCUUGUUGUGUUGCUUCCUAUUGGUUAGCUUCCUAAAGGGGGUGGGAAAUGAGCUUAUCAAGAUGGGAGGAUUUUUCUUUUCUCUCUGUCUCUAGGAAUAGGGUGGGGUGGGGAGGGAGGCUGGGCAUCAGGGAUCACGUCACUCUUAACAGCUGUUACUUAAACAACUAUUUUUUGGUUUGGUUGUAAUAUAUUGUACUUUAUUAAGAUUGCCAAAAACUGUUAAAAUUUAAAAAAAAAAAUUUAAAUCAUGUGUAUACAACUUUUUGCCAGAUAAAAAUGUAGUCAUUUUUAUUUGAAAGAUGUGCUUUUUUGUUUUUGUAUAUUUGUAAACUUAUAGAGAACCUUUUCCACACACCUCCUCCUUCCUGUCCUCUUUGAACUGUUCAUCACUUCUGCCCUCUUCCCACCCCCAGCCCAGUAAACUAAAACAUUAACUGGGCAACUUAAUUAGGCUCCAAUCCCUGGCCGUCUGGCCCAGACCAACCAACCAGGCCUUGCCUGGUUAAAUCAAACACUGAUUGAACAAAACGGCCUCUGUAGAAGUGGCUCUGACUCUGUCCUUCUGUGGCUACAGUGGAACAUCGGCCAUGGCCUCGAGCUGAAGCUAAGGCCUUGUGGACUGCAGGGAGCCCAGCAGCAGGCCCCACUGGAGUUAUUUCUGCCUCUCCCUUCCCCUCUCUGAAAAGCCUUGAAGGGGGUGGAGGGCAGUUGUCACAGGCAACCUUGUGUUUUCUGUGGCCUGCCCAGUGAUUGGCAGAGCAAGAGGUCAUUGGAAGGAAGGACGAGGUGCUGUUGGCAGCUGUGAGCAGUGUCACCGUGUGGUUUAUUGACUUGGGGCACCAUGUGUACUUCUGGAAAUUUUUUAACCAACCUGCCCAGCGUUCAGCACACAUAUUUGGAUUGAAUCUAUAGGAGAGGCAAAAAGAAACUCAGUGUGUGCCUCCUGAAACCCUCCUCCUUGGAUGCCAGGGACGCUGGAGCCUGUAUCACACAGUAUUAAUCCAUUUGUGAUUGGGGAAGGGAGGGUUGUCUGCAGAACCACCACCUUGAAGAUACAUGUUCUCAGGUCCUUGGUGGUUAAUACUGUUGAGUGCUGUUCUGGAAAAGCUGACUUCUUGAUGUGUUUUUGCUCCACUGGCACAGUGGAGUUGUUUGUGCACAUACCUUUGUGCAUAUUGUAGUAGCACUCUGGUUGGCUGACGUGUGGUGUCCAGAAGGCUGCCCAGAGAGUCAUCCUUACCAUUUUUGACUCAUUUCUGAGAAGGACUAAGUCUGAGGACCUGUAAAAUCUCUGAAGAGAGCUCUCUCUUCUCACUAAGUGAUUUAACCCACUUGGCCUGUAUUCCAAAUAGACCCAGACUCACUGACCCCGAGCCUGCACGACGCCAGGCAGUGGACAGCGACUCGGGCCACAAACAGUAAAACCUGCUCUCCAAGCUGGCAUUGAUUCUUCUUCCUGGCUGCUGCUGGGCAUGUCAUAGGUGAGCGAAAUGACCGUCUGGGGUGUGGUAGGGGGUGAAUUCCUCCACAAAGCAGCACUCAAACAAGUUAUUGCAGUGAAUUUUGGGACUUCUCAGAAAUGAAUCCAAGAUGGCAGCCAGCAAGUUCAGUGAAACCUGGCAGGACUCACUGAUAUUUGUCCAGUGAGCCUGUCACACACUCUCUGCUAAGGAGGCCGUAUGUCAGAGCUGAUCUUUAAAGAGAAAUUUAUCUUCAGGUGAAAAAAGAGGAAGCAGGAUUCCCACUGAGCUCCUCUUCCAAAAGGCAAAGACCAAUGUAUGAACGUAAUUCUAAUGUCAUGUGUUUAGUUUUUAUAUGUGUGUACAUAAUUAUAUAGAGAGAUAGACUUGUGUAUACACCUUCCACACACACAUUCUCACAGAGGUACAUGUGCUCAAUGUAUAUUCUUGUUUUUCCUGCUCUCAAGUUGGAACUUGCAUUGUGAUUACAGUUUUCGAAAUUCAAAAGUACUGCAACGUGUUGAAAUAAGUAAUAUUGUCAAAAACUUGUGAUUGUCUUGCCAUCAAUAAAAUAAUUACAUAGAUGUGUUACACUACAGGCAAAAAUAGCCCACGAGAAUAUGUGCACCAUUUCUCCCUCUGUGUACUUAUAUGCACGGGUGUGCAUGCCACGUGGGCCAGCACCUCCCCACCAUGGCACACCCCUAAGUGGUGCUUGUUGGAAGAGUGCUUACUUACCUCGUGAGAAUUUAAAGGAGUCAAUGUUACAGCAUCUGGCCUGAGUGGCAGUGAGGGCCAUUGCUUGUGGCCUCUGGGACAGCCCCAAUUUACAGUGAUCUGCACUGGGUCUCGGUGAAUGAAUGUAUGGUAGAUUUUUACCUUCUUGGUACUAAAGAGUAGCUUUUCUUUAAAACAUUCCUAUAAAAAAAAAAAAAGUAGAAACUCAGUUCCCUUUCCAUGUGUAUACAUAUCUUAAGGCACCAUGAACUUUGUUUUUCCCUUCACAACCUAGAGAAGCAGUAGGAGGCGCAGUAGAUAGUGUUUGGCCUGAUGUGGCCUCUGUGAGCCCUGCCUUUCCUAGCACAUACACGACAUCUUCUUUUGAGUCCAGGCUCUCCCCAGCGUAUCUAAGUGGGCCUCUGAAGAUGAAGGCAGUUGCCUCCUUAUCUUGUCCUUUUGCCAUGACAUUCCAUGGCCUGAUUUCCACCCCUCAUUUCCUGGCAUCUGUUAGGCCAGCCAGACAAUGCAGAAGUGCAUUGGGUCUUUGGUUCUCGUUUUGAGCAGGUGCGAUCACUGUCCUCUUGCUUGUAGGUUAAGAUCUUGACUCAAAGAGUUAAAGUUCAAUAAUAAAAUGAUCAGGUUCCCUUGAAGAUGUCAUGAAAUUGCCUCAGCAUCUUUGCCAAAAAUAGGUGGGCUAGUACAAGGCAAAGUGGAGGAAUCCUUUUAGGAAAUUAUCUCAAUUUAGCCAGUGGCUCAGUCCCUUUCCUGAGACUAGCCUCGACUUGGGAGAUGAGCGGGGUCAUCUUCUUGAGGCCCUCUUUUUCUUUGAGGAUGUCGAAGAGCUUCUGUUUCACAGGUAUCUGAAAAGUUGAGCGUAAGAUGGAAAAAGCAGAUAGCAUAUUUAUUAAUGCACGUAACAUGCCAGAAUGAAAGUGUGACAAAAGCAUCUGGAGUCCUGGAAAUGCAGUUGUAUAGUCCAAGGUAAGCACGCUUGGUGAUUUACAAGCAGGUUUCUUUCGGUUAGAGGCUAUCGCUGUCACCAUUUUCUUUUCAUCCUCUUCAAUUCUUUAAUGUUCCCAGGUCCAAGGAACAGUGGCGAGAUCAAUUUAAGUGUCUCAGGCAACAGAAACGAGAAUUGAAGUGGUGGUAACUAAAGGUGCAGACACAUCUUGAGUAUGUCUCUGUCCUCCUGGUGGCCAGCCAGUGCUGAGAGCCCCUGCCCUCAAGUCCCAGGUGUGACAAUAAUGGCACCGCUGGCUUCGGUGUUGUGCAGGCAGAGCAGCCUCAUUUCUUCACAGGGUGGAAGGCAGGUGAGGAUGUCAGGGUGUGAGAACAUGUAGCUGAUGACUGGAUGUAUGUCUGAGUCACAUGAGGUCUGUCUGUCUGCAUCAAGCAACUGGAUUGUAUGUUCACUAGUUUCCAAACUACCUCUCCCCCAAGAAUGUGAGGCAUUGUCACCUGGCUACAGAAAUGUGAAGCAGGGGUCUUGUAACCCUUCCUGUUUCAAAGGCAGGAAAACCAAGACAGAGAAGGUUGACUUGCUUACAGUCACCCAGCAAGCUGGAAGCAGUCAGAACCAAGAUGUUUCUGUCUUCAUCCUUAGCCGACCUGUGUGUAUGAAUGUGACUGUGCACUUGCGCAUGAAGGACUGCUGUGUAUGGGUGCUCCUCAGACCAUCUCUACUCUGGUGAGGACAUGAGACUGUUCAGUGUAUCUAAGUGAGCCACGAAAAAAUCCGCAUACAUUUCAGGCUCCUCCAUUGCAAAUUAGGGCCAGUUCCCCAAACCUACUCUGAUUGUUGUGGGCACUCACAGACCAGGGCACCCUUUGAAUUUUUGUUUGAAAUGAACUAGGCGUUCCAAAACCCUGGGCUCUCAAUGUGUAAACUUCCUGGACAUCAGACCUGUGUGGGUGACACUCCUGGCGGGGUAUGGUGUAUCCUUGCAGUAGGGUUUGGGUGCUUCCCUCCAGUGGGAAGCCUCCAUACAUCGAAGGCUGGCCCCUACCACGUGGUGUUUGUCAACUCCUCCCCUCGGUUUCCCUCACCCAUCCCCAAAAAGUGACUGGGCAUGAGGAGCACAGAGGGUGGCAUUUCCAUCUCUUACUGGCUCAGCAGGCAUAAAUGGCCACAUUGACUUUACAUAAAACUGUGUAAAAUGUGGAAGACUCAGCAUGUUGAUCAAACAAUAAACUGUCCUAAUUCUCAAAACAAA
This is an RNA transcript of Pteropus alecto (black flying fox), 5664 nucleotides long. It is a transcript of the gene named RAB6B, member RAS oncogene family, with no coding region annotated. The record is from RefSeq and is a predicted model, not a curated record. NCBI's taxonomy places the organism in Eukaryota, Metazoa, Chordata, Mammalia, Chiroptera, Pteropodidae. The transcript has 8 exons.